Molecule: long non-coding RNA, 311 nt
Organism: Gossypium arboreum
Lineage: Eukaryota; Viridiplantae; Streptophyta; Magnoliopsida; Malvales; Malvaceae
Exons: 2
Source: RefSeq, a predicted model, not a curated record
ACAUGCACUCAUUUUUUCCACCAUAACCGAAUGCUAAAAGAAAAGACAAAGAAUAAGCUUUGAAAGUUUCGGCCAUUUGGUAGCAUAAUCAAGUUUUAUAGAUUUUGGAUUCAAGUUACGAGCUCAGGGGAUCGUCAGUAAAGUCUUUCACACUAUCGACUGCCUUCGGUAUCUUAUAAACUAAUUUUUGAACCUAUGGCAUGUAUAGGCUAGAUUAUAUUUUGGAGAUGUUGGAUUUUAGUUUAUGUAUAAAUCUAAGCCAUGCGAAAAUGGAUUGAUUUCUAUGCUUGAAUUUUCGUUAUGUUUGUUCA